Molecule: RNA transcript, 1837 nt
Organism: Amphimedon queenslandica
Lineage: Eukaryota; Metazoa; Porifera; Demospongiae; Haplosclerida; Niphatidae
Exons: 10
Source: RefSeq, a predicted model, not a curated record
CUGUGGUUAGCUAAUAGUACAGGGUCAUACCCUUUAAUAACUUGGUCUUAAGUCAACCGACCGUAUAAGUUGAGUAUACUAAAGCUGCUAGUCUUGAAAAUCCUAAAAUGAGCUACAAUAACACAGGUGAAGAAGAUUAUGAUCCAUUGUUAGUUGAACAUAAAAGUGAUGCUGUACCAUCACCACCUCAGCCAUUGCCUCAGGCUCAGCCCAUGAGUCAGUUCAUUGAUAUAGAACAAUGCAAGGUACCUCCAGUUCCUCCGCAUUUGAUUCAUCCCCCACCUCAUAACCAUGUAGUCACUGUGAGGCAACCAAUGCCUAAUUACCUGGCACAGACAAGCCAGUCCAGUUCAAGUGAUUACUAUUUAAACUUUGCUGUCAUUUUGACUGUUCUUUGCUUCUUUUGUGGUACAUUUUUGGUUCUUUUGUGUACCAUUCCGGCCAUGGUAUUUGCUAGUCAAGCAAAAGAUGAAGAACUUCGUGGGGACAUGGAAGCCGCACAAAGGAGUCGCUGCUUAUCUCUGGCCUUCAGUGGGGGAGCAAUAGUAUUUGGUUGCGGUGUGGUCAUUUCUGCUUUACUGAUUUUAGGAGGUGCGAUUAGUUUUGAGUGAAAAGAAAGACAAUAAUCAUUGCAAUAACUUGUCAUUAAAUGUAUAUGUGUGUGUUUGUGUGUGUGCCUGCAUUCAUUACUGCUGUUCUGUAUAAUAGAUUAUCUAUAGAUGUAGAUAGUCUAUUUGUGACCCCGCCUUUGAAAAUGUUUACUUGUUGACUCAUUUUUAUAAAAAGUUGGUUGUCAAAUACCAUGGACUAUUGUAGUGCAUAACUUUCAUUGUUUAUUUUAAACAUCCUAUUCACUACAUUGUGAUUGGUUAGCUAUAAUGUGUACACACCUUUGAGUUGAGUGCAGCUGUAUAAGUAGAGCAAAGUCAAUUGGAGUCUAGUCUGUUUGGGAAAAUUCCAUUUCAGCAAAAAUGAGCUACAAUACUGCAAAAGAUGAAGUAGAUUUGGAGCUAUUUUUAAGUGAUCAAAAAGUAAGCUUACUUCAAGUUGGACUUACAAAAUGCUUUUCUUGUCUCCCCUGGAGAGUCAACCACCACCUGGACAUCAACUGACACUGCAACCAAUGGCCGCCAGAACUCACUUUGUUGUUACAGAGCAAUACCAAGUACCUCCAGUUUCUCCUAAUGUUAUUCCUCCUCCUCCAACUACUGCUAGCCAUGGAAUCACUGUGAGCCAGCCACUGCAGUCCAUGCAAAUGCAGUCAAGCGGUGAUUAUAGUUUAGGUGACUACUAUUUGGGCUUCUCUAUCUUUUUGACUGUUUUCUGUUUCUUCUGUGGCGCAUUUUUAGUUCUUUUGUGUACCAUUCCAGCCAUGAUAUUUGCAUACAAAUCAAAGGAUGAAGACCUUCGUGGAGAUGCUGUUGCUGCAGAAAACAGUCGCUGCGUAUCAAUGGUCUUUAAUAUUGGUGGAAUGAUAGUUGGUGGUGUUGUGAUAACUGCUAUUUCAUAUGUUGCACUUUCACUGACCAGCUAUAAGUAAAAAAAGACAAUAAUUGUGUAUUGAUUCACUUAAGUUCAGUCAGUGUGUUUUUAUCAAUAAUAAUUUUAAUUAUGAUCUGGGGCGUGGCUGAAUUGUAGCCACGCCUUUUUGCAGAAUGAGCUGACCCCCACCCUUAAGGCCUUGUAUGAUGCGCGAUUAUGUCUGCGGAAGAAAGAGCAUCUCUUUUGAUACCCAGAGGAAACGAGCAUGAGCCAAAUACAGAACUACAAUGAAUGCUUGUAUCUGAAGGUGACAGUGACUCUGACCAAAUUUUGCCAAAAAUUAAAAGGUAGAGAU